This is a non-coding RNA of Brachypodium distachyon (stiff brome), 136 nucleotides long. NCBI's taxonomy places the organism in Eukaryota, Viridiplantae, Streptophyta, Magnoliopsida, Poales, Poaceae. The record is from Rfam.
GUACUACUCCCUCCGUCCAACAAAGGAUGUCUCAAUUUUGACCAAAUUUGAAUGCAUUUAUACACUAAGUCAUGUCUAGAUACAUCCAAAUUUUGACAAACUUGUGACAUCUUUUGUUGGAUGGUUGGGGUAUCUU